Molecule: small RNA, 127 nt
Filed under: Marmota monax (woodchuck)
Lineage: Eukaryota; Metazoa; Chordata; Mammalia; Rodentia; Sciuridae
Source: RNAcentral
GCCAGGCACAGUGGCGCACACCUGUAGUCCCAGCGGCUCAGGAGGCUGAGGCAGGAGGAUCACGAGUUCAAAGCCAGCCUCAGCAAUUUAGUGAGGCACUAAGCAACUCAGUGAGACCCUGUCUCUA